This 279-nucleotide ribosomal RNA is filed under the name uncultured bacterium. RNAcentral describes it as "partial 16S ribosomal RNA". It matches the Rfam family "Bacterial small subunit ribosomal RNA", at positions 506 to 784 of the family's 1533-position model. The record is from RNAcentral.
UGCCAUCCGCCGCGGUAAUACGUAAGUCGCAAGCGUUAUCCGGAUUCACUGGGCAUAAAGCGCACGUAGGCGGUUCGUUAAGUCGAAUGUGAAAGCCCCCGGCUCAACCGGGGAACUGCAUCCGAUACUGACGGGCUAGAGGACGGCAGGGGUAAGUGGAACUCCAGGUGGAACGGUGAAAUGUGUAGAUAUCUGGAGGAACACCGGUGGCGAAAGCGGCUUACUGAGCCGUCUCUGACGCUGAGGUGCGAAAGCCAGGGUAGCGAACGGGAUUAGAUA